CAGUUCGAUAAAGGCUACUCUUACAAUAUCCGUCAUAGCUUCGGAAAGGAAGGCAAGAGAACUGACUAUACGCCUUUUAGUUGCAUGAAGAUUAUUCUAACCAAUCCACCAGGCCAAGGGGAUUAUCAUGGGUGCCCAUUCCGUCACAGUGAUCCAGAGCUGCUGAAGCAGAAGUUGCAGUCCUACAAGAUCUCCCCCGAAGGGAUAAGCCAGAUUUUGCAUUUAGUAUA
Hyaena hyaena (striped hyena) is the source of this 230-nucleotide long non-coding RNA. RefSeq lists it as uncharacterized. The transcript is spliced from 4 exons. The record is from RefSeq and is a predicted model, not a curated record. Lineage: Eukaryota; Metazoa; Chordata; Mammalia; Carnivora; Hyaenidae.